Molecule: ribosomal RNA, 238 nt
Filed under: uncultured bacterium
Lineage: Bacteria
Description: partial 16S ribosomal RNA
Rfam family: Bacterial small subunit ribosomal RNA
Source: RNAcentral
GAUCCUGGCUCAGGAUGAACGCUGGCGGCGUGCCUAACACAUGCAAGUCGAACGGAGUUUAUGAGGAAGAAGCUUCGGCGGAAUUCUUAUAAACUUAGUGGCGGACGGGUGAGUAACACGUGGAGAACCUGCCUCUUACCGGGGGACAGCAGUUGGAAACGACUGAUAAUACCGCAUAAGCGCACGAGACCGCAUGGUCCUGUGUGAAAAGAUUUAUCGGUAAGAGAUGGCUCCGCGU